CAUAUCAUGAUCUUUGUAAUGAAUCAUUCCUUUGAAUAGUUCUUGAAUAUGUUUUUAAACAUUUUUCAAAGAUUCUUUUGAAUAUUUUUUGAAUAUUUCUUGAAUAUUUCUUGAUUUUUUUUUAAAUCUUUUUUUUCACCAACCACUAACCCACUGGUUCCCAAUGGGGAUCACUCCUUUUGUUUUCCUGGCAACUUUGUACAAAGCAAGAUAUGUGGUAUACGCAGGUUUUCUUCCCCCUUCAUCACAUAUAAUGAUCUUUGUAUUGAAUCAUUCCUUAUAAUAUUUCUUGAAUAUUUCUUGAAUAUUUCUUGAUUUUUUUUUAAAUCUUUUUUUUUCACCAACCACUAACCCACUGGUUCCCAAUGGGGAUCACUCCUUUUGUUUUCCUGGCAACUUUGUACAAAGCAAGAUAUGUGGUAUACGCAGGUUGUCUUCCCUCUUUAUCACGUAUCAUAAUCUUUGUAAUGAAACUUUCCUUUGGAUAGUUCUUUAACAUGUUUUUGAGUAUUUUUCGAAUACCUCUUUGCAUAUUUCUUGAAUAUUUCUUGAAUAUUUCUUUAUUUUUUUUUAAAUCUUUUUUUUUUCACCAACCCUUUACCCACUGGUUCCCAAUGGGGAUCACUCCUUUUGUUUUCCUGGCAACUUUGUACAAAGCAAGAUAUGUGGUAUACGCAGGUUUUCUUCCCCCUUCAUCACAUAUAAUGAUCUUUGUAAUGAAUCAUUCCUUUGAAUAGUUCUUGAAUAUGUUCUUGAAUAUUUUCGAAUAUAUUUUAAUAUUUCUUUUAAUAUUUCUUGAAUAUUUCUUGAAUAUUUCUUGAAUAUUUCUUGAUUUUUUUUUAAUCUUUUUUUUUCACCAACCACUAACCCACUGGUUCCCAAUGGGGAUCACUCCUUUUGUUUUCCUGGAAACUUUGUAAAAAGCAAGAUAUGUGGCAUACGCAGGUUUUCUUCCCUCUUCAUCACAUAUCAUGAUCUUUGUAAUGAAUCAUUCCUUUGAAUAGUCCUUG
Molecule: long non-coding RNA, 1010 nt
Organism: Gasterosteus aculeatus aculeatus (three-spined stickleback)
Lineage: Eukaryota; Metazoa; Chordata; Actinopteri; Perciformes; Gasterosteidae
Source: Ensembl